RNAcentral lists this small nuclear RNA (107 nucleotides) under Lepeophtheirus salmonis (salmon louse). The record is from RNAcentral. Lineage: Eukaryota; Metazoa; Arthropoda; Copepoda; Siphonostomatoida; Caligidae.
GUACUUGCAUUGGCAGUACACAUAAUAAAAUUGGAAAUGUACAGAGAAGAUUAGCAUGCCCCCAGCACAAGGAUAACAGGUAAAAAAAUCGGUCUAAACAGAUUUUA